This 76-nucleotide transfer RNA is filed under the name Deferrisoma palaeochoriense. RNAcentral describes it as "tRNA-Ala". It matches the Rfam family "tRNA". Rfam says of the family: Transfer RNA (tRNA) molecules are approximately 80 nucleotides in length. Their secondary structure includes four short double-helical elements and three loops (D, anti-codon, and T loops). The record is from RNAcentral. RNAcentral also lists the same sequence under 14 other names. Lineage: Bacteria; Pseudomonadati; Thermodesulfobacteriota; Deferrisomatia; Deferrisomatales; Deferrisomataceae.
GGGGCCGUAGCUCAGCUGGGAGAGCGCUUGAAUGGCAUUCAAGAGGUCGUCGGUUCGAUCCCGAUCGGCUCCACCA